CUACGGGAUGCACCAGUAAGGAAUAUUGCACAAUGGGGGAAACCCUGAUGCAGCAACGCCGCGUGGACGAAGAAGGCCUUCGGGUCGUAAAGUCCUUUUCUGAGGGAAGAGGAGGGACGGUACCUCAGGAAUAAGUCUCGGCUAACUACGUGCCAGCAGCCGCGGUAAAACGUAGGAGGCGAGCGUUAUCCGGAUUCACUGGGCGUAAAGGGCAAGUAGGCGGUUGUUUAAGUUAGGUGUGACAUCUCUCGGCUUAACUGGGAGGGAGCGCUUAAAACUAGGCAACUAGAGGGCGGAAGAAGGGGGUAGAACUCCAAAUGUAGCGGUGGAAUGCUCAGAUAUUUGGAAGAAUACCAGUGGCGAAGGCGACCCCCCGGUCCGUGCCUGACGCUGAGAGGCGAAAGCUAGGGUAGCGAACGGGAUUAGAUACCCUCGUAGUC
This 440-nucleotide ribosomal RNA is filed under the name uncultured bacterium. RNAcentral's name for it is "partial 16S ribosomal RNA". It matches the Rfam family "Bacterial small subunit ribosomal RNA", at positions 339 to 795 of the family's 1533-position model. The record is from RNAcentral.